This 204-nucleotide ribosomal RNA is filed under the name uncultured bacterium. Its description in RNAcentral is "partial 16S ribosomal RNA". It matches the Rfam family "Bacterial small subunit ribosomal RNA", at positions 524 to 725 of the family's 1533-position model. The record is from RNAcentral.
UACGUAGGGUGCAAGCGUUAAUCGGAAUUACUGGGCGUAAAGCGUGCGCAGGCGGUUAUGUAAGACAGUUGUGAAAUCCCCGGGCUCAACCUGGGGAACUGCAUUGUGACUGCAUAGCUGGAGUACGGUAGAGGGGGGAUGGAAUUCCGCGUGUAGCAGUGAAAUGCGUAGAUAUGCGGAGGAACACCGAUGGCGAAGGGCAAU